AGGAUUAACGCUGGCGGCGUGCCUAACACAUGCAAGUCGAACGAGGUAGCAAUACCUAGUGGCAGACGGGUGAGUAGCGCGUGGUCAACCUACCGUUGAGUGGGGGAUAACUAGCCGAAAGGUUAGCUAAUACCGCAUACGUCUCCGAGGGGCAUCCCUUGGCGAUAAAAGGAGCAAUCCGCUCGAUGACGGGACCGCGUCCCAUUAGCUAGUUGGUGGGGUAACGGCCUACCAAGGCGUCGAUGGGUAGCUGGUUUGAGAGAGCGACCAGCCACACUGGGACUGAGAUACGGCCCAGACUCCUACGGGAGGCAGCAGUGAGGAAUUUUCCGCAAUGGGCGAAAGCCUGACGGAGCGACGCCGCGUGUGGGAAGAAGGCCUUCGGGUCGUAAACCACUGUCGAAGGGGAAGAUAAUGACGGUACCCUUGGAGGAAGCCCGGCUAACUACGCGCCAGCAGCCGC
RNAcentral lists this ribosomal RNA (463 nucleotides) under uncultured bacterium. Its description in RNAcentral is "SSU rRNA". It matches the Rfam family "Bacterial small subunit ribosomal RNA", at positions 26 to 518 of the family's 1533-position model. The record is from RNAcentral.